This 498-nucleotide ribosomal RNA is filed under the name uncultured bacterium. RNAcentral's name for it is "partial 16S ribosomal RNA". It matches the Rfam family "Bacterial small subunit ribosomal RNA", at positions 30 to 523 of the family's 1533-position model. The record is from RNAcentral.
AUUGAACGCUGGCGGCAUGCCUUACACAUGCAAGUCGAACGGUAACAGGUCUUCGGAUGCUGACGAGUGGCGAACGGGUGAGUAAUACAUCGGAACGUGCCUAGUAGUGGGGGAUAACUACUCGAAAGAGUGGCUAAUACCGCAUGAGAUCUACGGAUGAAAGCAGGGGAUCGCAAGACCUUGUGCUACCAGAGCGGCAGAUGGCAGAUUAGGUGGUUGGUGGGAUAAAAGCUUACCAAGCCGACGAUCGGUAGCUGGUCUGAGAGGCCGAUCAGCCACACUGGGACGGAGCCAGGGCCCAGACGCCUACGGGAGGCAGCAGUGGGGAAUUUUGGACAAUGGGCGCAAGCCUGAUCCAGCAAUGCCGCGUGCAGGAUGAAGGCCUUCGGGUUGUAAACUGCUUUUGUACGGAACGAAAAGCCCCGGGUUAAUACCCUGGGGUCAUGACGGUACCGUAAGAAUAAGCACCGGCUAACUAUGUGCCAGCCGCCGCAGUAA